This is a long non-coding RNA of Pipra filicauda (Wire-tailed manakin), 5176 nucleotides long. RefSeq lists it as uncharacterized. The record is from RefSeq and is a predicted model, not a curated record. The transcript has 3 exons. NCBI's taxonomy places the organism in Eukaryota, Metazoa, Chordata, Aves, Passeriformes, Pipridae.
GCGGGCACCGGCGCAGCCCCAGCCCCCCGCAUGGCGCCGAACGGCCGCGGCACCCGCAGCUCCCCACGGACCGGCCGGCGGGGCCGGGGGAGGAGGAGGAGGAGCUCCCGGCGCCGAGGAGGAGCCCCGGGCCGGGCCGGGCCGGGAGGAGCCCCCGCAGCCCCGGCCCCGCUCGGGCAGCCCCGGCUGCGCACAGGUGGCGUCCCGGGCUGGGCAGCCUCGGGAAAACUUCUGUGGCUUCGCCCGUUCCGGGGGAAUUGUGAUUGCUGGCUGGGGAAGGGGGAUUGCAGGUGUCCGGUAAAGUAUAAAUCGUAUCACGGCUCUCCUCCCGAUCCACAGCAGUGGCUCCAGGAGAGCCAAACCUGUGCUUUAUUCCUGAGGCACCCUUGCAGCGUCCAGCGGCAAUUAACAACCUGAUUCGUUGUCAGAGAUCUGGGGAUUAUUCCGUAUCUCUACUUUCUAAUGAAAUUUGUUUGUCGUCUGGGUGGAAGUUACUCUGUGUGGAUUUAAGGCAGUGAAUUAAAUCUUGGUGCCAGGGUUAGGGAGUCACCGGCAGCUCAAGGUCUGUCACACACUAAAAAGUGCAAACUAUUCCCAUCCCGUUUGCUGUUGUCCCCCGCGGGUGUGGAGACCAUGAUACUCCUGAGCUCUGGUUUCUCUUCCCUGCCGAGGCACUGCUCCUGGAUGGAAUUCCCUGCAGUGAUCUGCACCUCCGUGCAGAACGGUGACAGUCACCUCUAAGCUCAGUGGGGCAAGGGGUGUCUCUCCCUGUGAGCAUUGUGCACUUCACCCGGAGCACUGCGGGGUCUCAUUUCAGGCAAAGUCCUUUGUUGCCAUGGCAAUACAAAGGAAAAAUCUAUACUAUGGUAAUUUUAGAAAAAUACCUCCUUUUUUUCUAAACUAAAUUGGACUGUGGUUCAGAAUCGUGUGGGCACACAGAAACAGUCGUGCUGAUAUUCCUGAGCUGUAGCUGUUGAACAGCAGUUGUGUAGAGGGCUGUCAGCGAUGGGCUGUCAGCUUGGGCUGCUUCUCCCUGAUAUUGCAUAUGAUUUGUACUUGGCUUUGGAAAGGUUUCUUAGCAGGCUCUCAGCCUUUAUCUGCAGCAGAGAGGUGACCGGUUUUACUGAUCACAGUGCCAUGAACAAGAGUUUUGGCUUUUGUGCGACAGUCUGUAAUAAUCUCGUUGAUGAAAGUCUGUGUUUAAAAGUCUUUGCUGUCAAAGGGGAAGGACAUAUUAAGUAGGAUCUCCCAGGGAAUAAUCUGGGAACAGUUUUGGUUAGUUUUCUGUAGCAACUUGGGUGAUAGAACGGAGAGCACUUUUACUACAUUUGCAGUGAUUCCAGCAUGGAGUGCGAGGCUGAGAUUUAAAAUGACCCUGACACACUGCAGAGCCAGUCUGAACUCCACACACUGAAAUUCCAGGAGAAAAAAUUCUGUAGUAUGCCACAAGGAAGGGAUAUCUCGUGUCAGAUGAGGACUAUUAGUUAGGCAAGAACACUGCAGAGGAGAGAGAACCUCGGGACUGGAGUGGCUCGCAGCCUGAGCGGUGCUGCAGAACAGCCGUGCUGCUCCGAGCUCUGUAGCAGAAGGAUCAGCUGUAAGACAUCAGAGGGCGUUAUUUCUGUUCCAUUUAGCACCAGCCAGGCUUGGCUGGAGCACUCUAUCCAGUUUCAAGCAUUACACUCACUCUUAAAGAAAGAUGUAGGCAAACCAGAUAGGAGAAUAGCAACCGAAAGCGUAAGAGGCUUAGAAAUGUAAGCUGUGAGGAAAGCUGGAAUUUUUUAUUUGAUCUGGAAAGAAAACACAAUAUAAGGACAUGGCAACUGUCUUCAAACAUAUAAACACAUUUAUAAAGAUGACAGUAAACAGUUAUUCUGUGACCACAAAUGACGGGAUAAAAAGCAAUUUGCUAAAGUGCAUUAGGGAGGUUACUUUAGAUAUCAGGGAAAAAACAAACAAACAAGACAAAACGAUUAUCCUGCUAGUAGCUGAAAUCUCAGGAGGUUGUAAAUCUGUUCAGUGAAGAUUUAAAGAAAAGAUUAGACAAGCAGCUCUCAGGACUGGCUGUUGCAUGCCUGGGGCAGGGAAGACUCCCAGUCACCUUCACUUACCAGCCCACAUUUCAGUGAUUCCUGGCUGCCCAUCAGGUUACACUGAUCCUUCCAGGAAGAGGCAUAAAAAGAGAACUCAUUAUCACCCCCUAUGAUUAAUGCAGAUCUUUUUAACUAAAUCACCUCUGUGAUCAGGAUCUCGUUAUCAUCUGGAGACCAAGAGCACCUCAUGGAGACACACAGAGAGCAGAACUAUCCAUGGCAAGUAAGCAGUUUUCAAAUCCAGCUUUGAGCAAUAAUGACUGAAAAUUGUUAUUACUCGAUGGUCAGUGUAAAUAUAAAUGUCCUGCAAUUUGCUUGGGACUCACUGUAGAAUUCAUCACCUCAUUUGGACCCUUGCCUGGCAGAUUCAGUUGAGGUCAAGGAUUUCACAGACAUGAGGAGUCAGGUGUGAGAUCACUGGCUGUGGCCAAUAUUAAAUCUGUCCUGGCAAAUGGAGCUCUUCCCUCUUCAGGCAUGUCUGCCUGCAUCCUUCAUGAGCACGGAAUUCUUGUGGGAAGCAGAAGUGACACCUGCCCUUGAGGGUCCCAAGGAGUGCACUCUCAGUUUUCCUGCAGGGAUAACCUGACUGCAUGGUGGACUGGCCCAGGAUUCCCAGAGUAAAUUUACUGCUCUGUGCUCCUUGAGGAACUGGUACUGCCACAGAGAAAAAUUUCAAUCCCACUUUUAUUACUUUUACAGCCUGCGGCUGCUUUUCCUUCUGUUCCUUUGAUUGUUGAUGUUGAAAUCCUGUUCUAUGGGUUUCUCUGGCUUUUGCAGGUAAUUCCAUCAUCACUCUGCAGUCAGGAGCAGUGCUGCCAGCAAACAAGGUAUUCCAACUUCACAGCACCUUUCACCUUGCACUUCCCAAACAAAACAGGAGGCUAAAUUCCUCUCUUAUAAACAGAACUUAAAUAUCCACAUGGCUGAAAGGUGAGAAUUGUCCAAAACCAAGCUAUGACCAAGAAUUAUUCACAGAACUUAUUCAUCAGAAAAUUUCACCUAUUGAAUACAAUACCCAAAUGCUAUCUGCUUGAGAACUCUGUUUACAGAGACAGAAGCAAAAUUCUUUGAAGAAAUAAUGGAUGGCAAAUUAUUCACCUGGUCCUAGAAAACUUCAUGCUUUUGCCUUUUAAGGAUGCCAUGUGAGGUAUAUGCAAAGUGUUAGGCUGGAAGUGGAAAGUACAGACACUGCUGCAAAGAGGUUCAGAAAGGUCUCAGAAAAACCACAUGGCAAAGCCCAAGGUACCUUCUGCCAGCCAGAAGAAAUUGGUUAAAAGCCUCAGAAUUGCUGUUCCAAGUGUGUCUCAGAGCUCUUGGUGCUGCUGCCCUCAAGGACAUGGACCAGGUCCUGGUGUGUUUGGGUCUGGUGCCUUUUUCCAAGGAAUGCUAAAGAUUUCCUCACCUGCCUUGCUUGAGGUAAGGUAAUUUAAUCACUUUAUGCUUCCUUUGUUGCCACUUGAGACGCAUUUGAGCAAAUGUGGUUGCUCACCUUAAGGUAUGAGAAUAAAUUGUAUCUGUCUCCACUGGUGAAUCAGAGCCCAAUUCAGUGUAAAGGGAAUCCCAAGGAAUUCUGGCACUGCUGCUCACAUCUGGUCAGCAGGAUCCCACCUGGAAUCACAGAAGGUCUGCAGCAUGGAGGGGAUUACAUUUAGACAUCUUUCUGUCACCUUUAAUCAUUAAACAAACCCUCAGACGUUUGUGUUUGGAGAAAAGCUUUCCUUUAGCUUCUUUCCUUGUACAGUUUUCUGGGAGUUUUGUGCCCGUGCAUGGGCAGAACCAGGCUCUUCUCCUCUCCUGCCUCUGUUUGUCCUUGCUGCAAAUCCCCUGGGGGAGCUCCUGCACGAGCUCCUGCACGUUGUGUCGUGUUAGUCGUGGCACUGAGGGAGCGAGGAGUAACACAUCCCUCCUCCAUCUGCAGCCCUGGAGAUGUGCUGUUUAUGUUUGCAAGGUGGCCGAUGUGACUAAAAUUAAUUUACAAUCUCCUGAGAUUUUACUCCAGUACCUCGUGCUGCCAACCUCCCCCAUAUUCCCUCUGCAGAUCCUUGGCUGGAGAGUGUGUGCUGGUACCUGUGAGCUGCUGGGAAAUGUCUGAGUAGGAUCCGUUGGUGGGCAGGGCACCAGAACCAACAUAAACUCUUACUCUACAAAGAAACUGGGAAAUGAACAGGGAAUGAACAGAAAGAAGUCAGGAGCAUGGCUGGGCAGAAAACUCUUUUUAAUUUAAAAGAGUACAGAGGUGUGGAUGUGCUCAAACAGCCUUGCAGGGGUUUGGUUUGACCUUUGCAGCUUUUUUUUGCUCAGCUUAACGCUGUAUCUCAAGUGCCUGGCUGUGCAGCCCUCUGCUCCCAUCCAGAUUGCAUCCAACCCUGGAAAAUCCUGUAAGUGCAUGAGGGAGGAGAGGAAUCUCUGCAUGCAUACACUUUGCAUGUUUUGUAAAAUUCCUGCCUAAUCCGAAUGUGUGAUUACCUCCCUAGCAAAGGCUGAAGAGGAGAAUUACCUCCUGCAGGUGACUCUUGUGGCACUGGAUUCCUUUGCAGCUGAGGUGUACAACUGUAGCUAUGGCACAAAACAGAGAAUCAGCUUCAAACUAUCAACAUUCCGAAAUAUUUGGUAAAAUGCAGAACUUCAACUGUGUUUAAAUAAUUAAUUUCUAUCGUGUACCAACAAGACCAGUGAUAGUGUUUACAGGAGAGGAAGGUUCUUGGGCUGAAAUGAGUUUCAGGGAACUGCUGUAUUGAAACUAUCAGGGACAGUGGAUUAUUUAUCAUGGCUCUGGCAGACUUCCAAAAACACUGCACGUUUUUUUUUUCAGGUUACUGAACUGAAAGAACCUUGCAAGGAUAAGAGAAAUGUCUUCCCAAGCAUGUUCUUCAGCAGCAGUAUUGUUCAGCUUCAUGAGUAAGAAUGGACAGUCAAAUAAAGUGCAGCAGACCAAUUUAAUCGGAAAAUGGGCACUGGAACAUCAACUCAGUGUGUGGUGGAGAGAUACCAUCUCCUGUAUUUCGAGCUUGUCUACACCUCUGGGUCCAGAGCAGCAAACCUCCAGUGUCCUGCAUUGCACACUCAGCCUUGGUGCUGCAGGG